UACGUAGGGUCCGAGCGUUAAUCGGAAUUACUGGGCGUAAAGCGUGCGCAGGCGGUUUUGUAAGCCAGAUGUGAAAUCCCCGGGCUCAACCUGGGAACUGCAUUUGGGACUGCAAGGCUUGAGUACGGCAGAGGGGGGUAGAAUUCCUGGUGUAGCAGUGAAAUGCGUAGAUAUCAGGAGGAAUACCGAUGGCGAAGGCAGCCCCCUGGGUCGAUACUGACGCUCAUGCACGAAAGCGUGGGGAGCAAACAGG
This 253-nucleotide ribosomal RNA is filed under the name uncultured bacterium. RNAcentral describes it as "partial 16S ribosomal RNA". It matches the Rfam family "Bacterial small subunit ribosomal RNA", at positions 524 to 776 of the family's 1533-position model. The record is from RNAcentral.